RNAcentral lists this transfer RNA (76 nucleotides) under Neobacillus drentensis. Its description in RNAcentral is "tRNA-Val". It matches the Rfam family "tRNA". From Rfam's summary of the family: Transfer RNA (tRNA) molecules are approximately 80 nucleotides in length. Their secondary structure includes four short double-helical elements and three loops (D, anti-codon, and T loops). Further hydrogen bonds mediate the characteristic L-shaped molecular structure. tRNAs have two regions of fundamental functional importance: the anti-codon, which is responsible for specific mRNA codon recognition, and the 3' end, to which the tRNAs corresponding amino acid is attached (by aminoacyl-tRNA synthetases). tRNAs cope with the degeneracy of the genetic code in two manners: having more than one tRNA (with a specific anti-codon) for a particular amino acid; and 'wobble' base-pairing, i.e. permitting non-standard base-pairing at the 3rd anti-codon position. Lineage: Bacteria; Bacillati; Bacillota; Bacilli; Caryophanales; Bacillaceae. The record is from RNAcentral.
GGAGGAUUAGCUCAGCUGGGAGAGCAUCUGCCUUACAAGCAGAGGGUCGGCGGUUCGAGCCCGUCAUCCUUCACCA